CCCUUAGAUGUUCUGGGCUGCACGCGCGCUACACUGAAGCUAUCAACACGUUUUCCCUCCCUGAGAAGGGCGGGUAACCUUUUGAAUCAGCUUCGUGGUAGGGAUCGGGGCUUGCAAUUGUUCCCCGUGAACCAGGAAUUCCUAGUAGACGCGAGUCAUAAGCUCGCAUCGAUUAAGUCCCUGCCCUUUGUACACACCGCCCGUCGCUACUACCGAUUGAACGUUUUAGUGAGGCAUUUGGACCGACGCAUCUCAGUUUAACCGCUGGUGUGUGUUGGAAAGACUUCCAAACUUGAGCGUUUAGAGGAAGUAAAAGUCGUAACA
RNAcentral lists this ribosomal RNA (324 nucleotides) under uncultured eukaryote. RNAcentral's name for it is "partial 18S ribosomal RNA". It matches the Rfam family "Eukaryotic small subunit ribosomal RNA", at positions 1470 to 1796 of the family's 1831-position model. The record is from RNAcentral.